RNAcentral lists this ribosomal RNA (279 nucleotides) under uncultured bacterium. RNAcentral's name for it is "partial 16S ribosomal RNA". It matches the Rfam family "Bacterial small subunit ribosomal RNA", at positions 506 to 784 of the family's 1533-position model. The record is from RNAcentral.
UGUCAACAGCCGCGGUAAUACGGAGGGUGCAAGCGUUAAUCGGAAUUACUGGGCGUAAAGGGCGCGUAGGCGGUCUUUUAAGUUAGGCGUGAAAGCCCCGGGCUCAACCCGGGAACUGCGCUUAAGACUGGAAGACUAGAAAACGGAAGAGGGUAGUGGAAUUCCCAGUGUAGAGGUGAAAUUCGUAGAUAUUGGGAAGAACACCAGUGGCGAAAGCGGCUACCUGGUCCGAUUUUGACGCUGAGGCGCGAAAGCGUGGGGAGCAACCAGGAUGAGAUA